UUGAUAAAUCUACCUGCAUGAGUGACAGAUCUAUAUUCCAUCAAUGGUGCCCAGAGCAGAUCCUAAAAGAGACCGACCAUGAAUGACAGAUCUACAUCCCACCAAUGGAGCCCAGACCAAAUUCUAAAAGAGAUCGACCAUAAAUGACAGGUCUACAUCCCACCAAUGGAGCCCAGACCAGAUCCUAAAAGAGAUCGACCAUAAAUGACAGAUCUACAUCCCACCAAUGGAGCCCAGACCAGAUCCUAAAAGAGAUCGACCAUAAAUGACAGAUCUACAUCCCAUUAGUGGAGCCCAGACCAGAUACCAGCAGAGACCGAUCAUAAAUGACAGAUCUACAACCCACCAAUGGAGCCCAAACCAGAUCCCAGCAGAGACCGACCAUGAAUGACAGAUCUACAUCCCACUAAUGGAGCCCAGACCAGAUCCCAGCAGAGACCGACCAUGAAUGACAGAUCUACAUCCCACUAAUGGAGCCCAGACCAGAUCCCAGCAGAGACCAACCAUGAAUGACAGAUCUACAUCUCACCAAUGGAGCCCAGACCAGAUCCCAGCAGAGACCAACCAUAAAUGACAGAUCUAUAUCCUACUAAUGGAGCCCAGACCAGAUCCUAAAAGAGACCGAACAUAAAUGACAGAUCUACAUCCCACCAAUGGAGCCCAGACCAGACCCCAGCAGAGACCGACCAUAAAUGACAGAUCUACAUCCCACCAAUGGAGCCCAGACCAGAUCCUAAAAGAGACUGACCAUAAAUGACAGAUCUACCUCCCACCAAUGGAGUCCAGACCAGAUCCUAAAAGAGACCAACCAUGAAUGACAGAUCUACAUCCCACCAAUGGAGCCCAGACUAAAUCCCAACAGAGACCGACCAUAAAUUACAGAUCUACAUUCCAUCAGUGGAGUCCAGACCAGAUCCCUGCAGAGACUGACCAUGAGUGACAGAUCUACAUCCCAUUAGUGGAGCCCAGACCAGAUACCAGCAGAGACCAACCAGAUCUAUAUCUCACCAAUGCAGCUCAGGAGAGACCGACCAUAAAUGACAGAUCUACAUUCCAUCAAUGGAGCCCAGACCAGAUCCCAUGAGUGACCAACCUUUUAUGAUAGAUCUACACCCCAUGAGUGGAGCCCAAACCAGAUCCCAGCAGAGCCUGACCAUAAGUGACAGAUCUACAUCCCAUCAAUGGAGCCCAGGAGAGACUGACUAUAAGUGACAGAUCUACAUGAUAUCAAGGGAGCCCGGAUGAGAUCACAGUCCAUAUAAUUCUGUGACCACCUCUAGUGUUCGCGUGUGAUCAGUAGUAAAUGGAUGGACCCUCACCUGUCCAUUCACUAACCCUCUAUACUUUCUGGGCACUGCUGGUUCCCCUCUCCAAAUGACUGUACCCCCUGCCCCCUAUAUCUUAUCAUCCCUGGGGCCUUUUACCCCUGUGUGCCUUCUAGAUCCCUCUGUUUUCUUCAGCUACUUCAGUCCUCUUAUUCAGUCCUAUACCCCUCUGUACCCUCCAGACACCUCCAGAUCUCCUUUUCUUGAACCCAUUAAAUGGAGUCUUUAGUACUGCUUAAGUGGAGAACAGAACACCAGGAUGAGGUUAAGGGAUCUCUAUAAAGAGUGGAUCUCCUAUACUAGAUCAAGGAAUAUCACACCUGGAACAUUGAGGUCAAGGAAAGGAGAUCUAAAUGAGAUCUUCGCCACUGGAUCAGAAGAGGCAGAGCCCCAGGAGUGGAUUGAGAAAUCUCUGUCCCUAAGGAGUAGAUCACUUGCAUUGGAUCUGAGAAGAGAUCUUGGACCAGAAGAUUCCACACAGACUAUAAAUGUAGAUGGGGAGAUCAGACUGUCCUCAGGGUAGAGUCCACCCUCGUAGAAGAUGUCCUUGGAUGUUGUCCUGUAGAUGGGGAUUACCUUGCAGGGUUCAGGACCUCAGGGUAGACGUAGGCUCGUGAUGUUCAGCUCUGCUGCAUCCACCAUUUAUAGGGAUCGGCUGAUUUCUGGGCUCACGUUGUGUUUCUCUGUCCUGGGUCCAGGCGUUAAUCCACGUACACAAGGGAAGUGUGCACUCAGCACAGGCCGGGGGGCACAACUGAGUGCAGGAGAAGACAUGUAUACAAUAUAGUGAACACUCUACAGCUCUGCUAGAUCAGCACCUACUAUUAUUUACCCGGGCAAAUUGCUCAUUCUCUUAACCCUUUCUGAACCAGACUUUCGAGGGAUUCAAUAAAUAAGAGGAAAAAUCUAUUGACAACUCCUAUAUGAGUGAGGCUGUGCAUAGAGUAUACAAGAAUGUCUAUAGAAUGGGACUAUAUAUCAGGACGUGCAGUGAAACCUCAUUGAGAUGACCACAAAAAUUCACACAAAAAGGCUCCUAUAUGAUCUGGGUUUUAGGAUUACAGCUGUGAAUAACGGGACUUGUCCCAAGGCUGAGACGCUGCAGGUUCACCACAUCUUAAAGGGACCAUAGAACUAAAGGCCACCACCUUAUGAUCUACAUGUAGCACCUAUAAUAUCUAACCUGAAGAAGAACUUUCUUUGAGGACCUUUAGGUCUUUCUGAAGAGAAGUAUCGGUACUAAAGCUGAUGUGUAUGGGUACAGAAGAAGUAGGAUACCUGCUGGUCAUAAAAAUCCACCGGUAUGAGGGGUGCACCAUGAUUUAUUGAUAUUGUACAGCACAACCAGUAUAAUCAAAUACUUGCAAAUGUAUGUAGUCAUGUAGCAUUGUAUCUCCUUGUUCCCUAAACCUUUUUAUGAAGACUUUACAGCAGCUGCCUGACGGUAGUAUUCAUUCAUGUAUGUUACAUCUAGGUUAGCA
Hyla sarda is the source of this 2806-nucleotide long non-coding RNA. RefSeq lists it as uncharacterized. The record is from RefSeq and is a predicted model, not a curated record. The transcript has 3 exons. NCBI's taxonomy places the organism in Eukaryota, Metazoa, Chordata, Amphibia, Anura, Hylidae.